GUAGGGAAUCUUCCACAAUGGACGAAAGUCUGAUGGAGCAACGCCGCGUGAGUGAAGAAGGUCUUCGGAUCGUAAAACUCUGUUGUUAGAGAAGAACGUGCAUGAUAGUAACUGAUCAUGUAAUGACGGUAUCUAACCAGAAAGCCACGGCUAACUACGUGCCAGCAGCCGCGGUAAUACGUAGGUGGCAAGCGUUGUCCGGAUUUAUUUGGCGUAAAGGGAACGCAGGCGGUUUUUUAAGUCUGAUGUGAAAGCCUUCGGCUUAACCGAAGAAUAGCAUUGGAAACUGGAAGACUUGAGUGCAGAAGAGGAGAGUGGAAUUCCAUGUGUAGCGGUGAAAUGCGUAGAUAUAUGGAGGAACACCAGUGGCGAAAGCGGCUCUCUGGUCUGUAACUGACGCUGAGGUUCGAAAGCGUGGGUAGCAAACAGGAUUAGAAACCCGAGUAGUCC
Molecule: ribosomal RNA, 450 nt
Filed under: uncultured bacterium
Lineage: Bacteria
Description: partial 16S ribosomal RNA
Rfam family: Bacterial small subunit ribosomal RNA
Source: RNAcentral